This is a long non-coding RNA of Zea mays, 740 nucleotides long. RefSeq lists it as uncharacterized. The transcript is spliced from 4 exons. Lineage: Eukaryota; Viridiplantae; Streptophyta; Magnoliopsida; Poales; Poaceae. The record is from RefSeq and is a predicted model, not a curated record.
UAUGUUUGGUUUUGGUCGAUUCUGUCAAGAUUCAUUUCUACAUUUUAUAUGUUCUAUAGUCUCACAAGUAUUGUUUUUGGUGUUGAUAGGAUCUAAGGAGCAAAGACUAUUAAUUAUCAUAAACAAGAUUUCUAAUUGGUGAAAGCUUUUUAUAUAUAGCAGACUGUGAUGAUGUGUAGAGGCAAAGGAUCCUUCAGAGUUCAUCACUCAUCGAGCCAAAGAUUUUGUGUCAAGCAUGAAGGACAUUGAAACCCGGUUUAUGUGUAUAGUUGAAGCAGGAAAUAAGGUUUCUAGAAUGCUUGAAACCAAGAAGAUCUUGCUUGACAUAUGUGCUAAAAUACCAGGAUUCUAGGUUCUCCAGUUAAGCUACCUACUGCCCGAUUGUGUCAGCACUUCAAGUGUGCUGCAAUUGUGAUGUUAUUCUCAACCAUGGUAACCAGGGUAUUCUCAUUAUUCUCUUCGCAAUCAUAAUGUUUUCCUGAAGUACUAAUUUUAAAUGUCUUUGUAGAAACUGUGACCCUCCAUAGUUAAGGGAUUGCACUUUCUUAAAUAUUUGAUGAGGAAGUUGUUGGACUUUGAUGAACCUAGAACUCUUGCACCAACUUGUCUUUUUGUUGGAGGUACAAAAUACAUGGUGAUCCAAGGUGAACCUAGAGUGGUCAUCCGAGGAAAGAAGAAUAUUUUGCCAGUGAUGACGUGUGUUUAGAGGAUGGGAUCCUUGCAAUUGUCAAACAAGGCAA